CCACCUGAUUCCAUCCCGAACUCAGAAGUGAAAAGCUGUAACGUCGAUGGUAGUGUGGGGAUUCCCCAUGUGAGAGUAGAGCAUCGUCGGGG
This 92-nucleotide ribosomal RNA is filed under the name Glaesserella parasuis. The record is from RNAcentral. Lineage: Bacteria; Pseudomonadati; Pseudomonadota; Gammaproteobacteria; Pasteurellales; Pasteurellaceae.